Molecule: long non-coding RNA, 1044 nt
Organism: Sapajus apella (tufted capuchin)
Lineage: Eukaryota; Metazoa; Chordata; Mammalia; Primates; Cebidae
Exons: 2
Source: RefSeq, a predicted model, not a curated record
UGCAGUAAGCCAUGAUCAUGCCACUGCAUUCUACCAUGGGUGACAGACUAAGACCCUGUCUCAAAAAAAAAAAAAAUCAAAAAAAACAGAGAGAGAUGUUCAAAUUAUAGGGAAUGGAUAUGUGUGCUCUAUUACCUCAGAAAACAUUGCAGGAUCUGUACAUUCACCUAUGUGCACCCAUCUACAAUCUGCCCAUUUCACCUUAGGUGCCCUGUCAUCAAAGCACCUUCCAGUCAGGAUACCUGAAGAGAGCAAAUCACCAGAUCCUUAGAAUGAACAAACUUUUAUGCUACCAUAUUAGAAAGCCCUUUGCAAAGAAAAAUACUUACAAGUAAAGAAAUGCAUCUUUUAUUUUUUUCAAAGUCAAUCUGCUUGAUGGUUUGAGAGUUGUCUGAAAUAAUUCAAAAGAGAGGUAAGCUUAGAAGAGUAAAUGAGUUUCACUUCCAAAGAGGAUUGUUUGUAAUCACCCUGCUUACUUACCUGCUUCCAUUCUGAAGCCGUCUGCAGUACUUGGAAAAAGUGUAAUCUUAAAAAAUUCAGUAACAGUCACUGGCUGACUGUACCUAGGGUACCCUCCCUGUUCCGUGGUGCUCACAGUUUUUGGUAAUGCAUGGAGAUAAUUUCAGAUGUUUGCUUCUCUUAACUCCUGAGCACCUUUGCUUCUCACUGUGGAAUUCUAGAGACACAUGGGUAUAGAACUUGAUCUACAAGCCUCCUAGUAAUAGUUGCAGAUUAGGUAGAAAGCCAAGCUAGACUGUACACAAGUCUGUAUAAAUCCCAAAACAGAGCUUUAAAAUAAUAACUUACUGAGUCAUGAUUUCUGCAUCUCAUAUGCAGUAUUCCUUAAAUCACAUGUUGAUGGCUAAUCAACAAAAUCCAAAGACGCAAAUUAGAUGGUACAAUAUUUACAGAGAAAAUAUAUGUGUAGUUUGAAAAGCAAGGAUUCUCAGGGUUACACUCCCACCCCUAUUCCCCCCAGAAAUGAUAGCAGUUGCAAUCUGAACUAUCAACAUUGUAGCCAAGAAAGGAAUGAAUAUAACAAUU